Long non-coding RNA from Ruditapes philippinarum (Manila clam), 348 nucleotides. RefSeq lists it as uncharacterized. The transcript has 4 exons. Lineage: Eukaryota; Metazoa; Mollusca; Bivalvia; Venerida; Veneridae. The record is from RefSeq and is a predicted model, not a curated record.
CACAAGCUACAUUACACAUAAAUACGGGCAAUCACGCUCAGAUAACAUUUCGAUUCCUGAGUGGGAAAAGACAUAAUCAUGAAGCACUUCAUCCUCACAACAGUCAUCGUAUUAGUAUGUUUGUUGCACUUUUCAAGAGCAGAAAAUACCGAUACGGCUUGCACUGUAGAUGGUAAGCAGUGUAAAGAUAUUGAGAAUGCUUCGUGUGACCAAACACAAAAGAAAUGCAAAUGCAACAAAGGUUUCCAUUUUGAGGCAAGCCUAUGCAUAUUUAGCUCCAGUAAUACAUUCAAAAUUGGAGUAUUUCCACUUUUGCUUGCUUGUUUUACGACAUUUAAAUCGAUGCUA